Phasianus colchicus (ring-necked pheasant) is the source of this 8161-nucleotide non-coding RNA. The record is from RefSeq and is a predicted model, not a curated record. NCBI's taxonomy places the organism in Eukaryota, Metazoa, Chordata, Aves, Galliformes, Phasianidae.
GAUUGUGUGGGAAGAUCGUCAGCAAAAUGGAUUUCUGGUAAAAAAAAAUGCACUUUCUGCAAAAUCAGACCUUUGGCUGAAAAGCAGUGGUCCUUCUUGGAGUUUUUCCAUUGUGAUACUUGAUUUGGGGCCAGUUUAACUGCUAACUGUGAGCACUGUGUGUGUCUGAUGGCUGCCGUAGUUCGAAGCUGUUGUGCCUGCACCCCUGCACUGGUUGCCCUGAGGCCAGCACUGCCAUCUGGAAGUGGUCAAAUCGAGCCCCUUCAUCUGAACAUAGAACAAAAGGAAACUCUUCUGUUCAAUGGCAGAGCAAAUGGGUUAAAGUGACAAUGUUUUCAAGGCAGGGCACAUCUUAGGACUUUGGGAAAGAUGGAUAAUCUGCUUUUCAUUCAGCUGUAGUCCGAAGUCAUUUGCAUCCAUCUCAGGCUGCUUAGCUUCCAGGGUCUAUUGAGAUGACAACCCUAUCUCAUACUGCUGUGGGCCACUGAGCAAAAUUCUCUGCUGAGUUUAAGUAAAUGCAUAAAUGAUCUUCCUGGUGAACAACCUCUUAAGCCCAGCUGGUUACCUGUGCAUUAAAGCAGCCUUCUGAAAUAUCAGCACGGGCGGACGAAAUGUCAGCCCCAGCCUGUGACAGCACGGUUGAUCCCUCAAAGAGCCAAGGAGAGCAAUUAGAGGGGAAAAGUUGGAGGGAGGUGAAGAGGAAAGAGAUUUUAGGGGAUGGAGAGAACUGAGAGCUCUAAUCAGGUAGAACAGUCGUAAUAAGGAAAGUGUGUUUCUGUGGGAGAGCGUAUUUACUUAGGUUUUCUCUCGAAAUAAUCAGCCUGAAUCACAGCUUUAUUAUGCGAUAGGUGUGGUGACGUUAGACUGGGAAAACAGAAUGCUGGUGUGGAAGCAGGACUCCCAUUUCCCUUCAGUAAAUAGUGCUGAGGAUCAAAGAGUGCUUUUCCAGAGCUGAUACAAUGGGGGGAGCCUGCCCUGCAUGGGGAGGUGAUGCUACUGGUGUCCCUCCAUGCCGACAAGCUGAACCGUGCCUCGUCCCUGCAUUGUCAUCCUCGCUCAGAUCUUUGCUGCUGUGUGAAAGAGGGUUUUACUGCUUUCUUUCAUUACUUUAUUUUUCCAGGAAGCUCACAUAACCCUUUGUGUCCCAGGCAGGAACAGCCACUUUUAUGGAGAAUGGAGUCCGGUGGUGGAUCCGUGAAAGGAUUUGCUUGUUAAAAUGACUUCCAGGGGGGCUUGCUAUGACUGUUGGUAUUGUUUAGGUUGUAUUUUUAAAAGCAUUCUUCCCUUUCUGUCCCUCUUUUCCCCUGUGAAGGGCCUCAUGCCAAAACCAUGGGUCUCUGGGCAGUGCCCAGCCCAGCAGCAGCUUCCAGGCAGACAGUGCUGCUGAGUUUUGACAGAUGGACAAGAAAACGUGCUGCACACACAGGACGUCAUGCUGACAGCCUGUUCUAAUCCCCUGGUAGGUACACAGAACCUCACCUUUCCAUCUGUAUUAAAAGAGUUAAGAUGUAUGUUAACUCUUUAGGUUGAGCCCAGGCAGCAAAUAGGGGAUGGAGCUCUGCUUCCCAUGAAGCAGAUGGAAGUCUGUCUGCACAUGGGAAUUGCCAUGGCUGUGCUAUAAGCAAACACCUCUGUUCACCUCACGUUAUCUUGUUCACCUUAAAGUUGGUUCUGCCUCUCCUGUUGGGUGCCUAGGGCUGAACCCUCUGGCUGUCUGCUUUUGGAAGGGGGACUGUGCCCAGAUAUAGCAGCAUCUGGCAAGACCCAGUGCCCUACAGGCCUAAUUUUAGCUCCCUGCUGCAGGCUGGCUUCCUGUCGUGGGCCAGGAGGAGGUUAAUGAUCAUCUGGGCAGCUCUCCAAAUCCAAUGUAAUGUUUAUUCAGGAUAACAGCAUUGCAGAGCAGACCAAGCAUGACCCUUUUCCACACACAUCUUACCUGGCAUGGCCCUGCUUCUGCACAUGGAGCAGCUCAGGUCUGUCAGCUCUUGGAGGAUGGACUCUCUUCUCCUUCCCUAGAUCAAAAUAGGUCCUGUACAACCCUGUCCAUGUGUUCACCUCCUAAACCAAACAGAUGCUAUAUUUCUAGACAAAAGCUCUGUAAUAGGUUGCAGAUCUAUGAUGGUAAUGGAAAUAGAUGCUCAAACAACCCCCUGCUAAAACUUUGCAGGAUGCUCCUCACCUGAUCCCUUUGGCCAGGAAUCACUGGAAACAGACUGCAAAUAACAUCCUGGAUACCAUUGCUCUAGAACAGUCCACCUCUCUGAGGCACCACCUUGUUUUGCACAUGCCAUGGACAAGAUUAUAUGUUAGAAUUAGCAUUUAGGGGAGACAGGAAUGGUUUAGAGGCCACAUAGGUAGUUUGGUCUGAUGUGGCUAAAAUCAAUUAACUUCAUAUAUAAUGCUGCCAAGGGCAAAAGGCAAACCCUACUGACCAAAGAGCAUUUCAUAAGUGCACUGCAUGUGUUCAUCUGGCAGUCCAAGCACAAAUUCCCCUGCCACAAUCACCUCACUUUGCAGGAAGGCAGGGCGUUCAGCUUCACUGCACCCCACAGUGCUUGGAGGAGCUGGAGCCAAGGGAUAUGUGUUUGGUGGGCCUGUAUGUUCCACAUGUGUGCACAGCUGGUUUUGGGAUCUGAGAGGUUGCAGAUUGACAUAUGAGGUGAGGAGGGAUGGCAGGUAGCAGUAGCCAUACCCUCUGACAGAGGGCAGAGCUCAUGGGAUGUGUUUAUUCACCUCAGCUGUUGUUUAUUCAUCUCAGCUGCUGUUGAAGAGCUUAAUUUCAGCCAUGAACUUACAGCAUUUUCUUCCCUACAGUGCAGCCCCUGCAGUUACUGUGCCAUCCUUUUGACACAACAUGAGCAGACAUGCAAUGGACUCAGUCCCAGGGAUCCCCCAUGCCAGCACACAGCGGGUCAUGUUUACUGCUGCUGGUGAUGUGGGGAUGGCUCCUUCCCACCUGCUGAAGACACUCUCCUGUCCCUUCGGAGCAGUCUGUUGUGGCUCAGCUGUCCUGAGCGGCCCUGUGAGCUUUGCUGCAAGCUCUGGAGUUUGUCAUGAAUGUUUGCUGCGCUGUGGAAGGCCGGGCUUGGCUGCACCCAGCUCCAGGACUCUUCUCCACCUUCCUGCGUGACGCUUGGCAUCGAGCAACGAUUCCUGCACUACUUCCACCAAUUUGAGAGUAACUGGAUGCUUUCGCCCCCUGGGUCUUGGUCUUGGUGUGUUUGUCCUGUCCGUUACAGCAAGGUAAGCAUCUCUUUCCCCCAUUGUGUGUAUUUAAACCAGGGUGCCCGCAAGCAAAAACUGUAUCUCUCAGCAGCAUUGUGUGUUUAGGGUGCAUAGACCCAGAUAACAGGGAUGGGGAGCAGGGAGCUGGCUGAGCAUUGUGAGCCAGUGUGAUGAUGGUCCUUCUGCCCCCAGUCACCUUGGGCUUGCCUCUGACAGCUCAUUACAGCUAGUCUUUGAUCACUUGCCUCUCCCCCUCUCUGUACUUGGAAAUGCUGGAGAGCUUUCGUGACUGAUAUUAUCAAAAAGGACGUUUUUAUUUCCAAAAUAUACAGUGUAAUUAGAACUGCAAAGGAAGAGAGCAGCCAGUCCAUAAAAACACCCGCUCUGCGACAGUCUCUGUCCUGACCCUGUGGGAACUGGCAACAAAAGACUGCUGGGUUUGGGGGAGAACAGUUUCCCAAUUAAUGGGAGCACCCCUCAGGUCCCAGCCAAAAAGAGCUCUUCCACUGCAUGGGAAGGCUUUGCUGUGGAAAUGCUCUCACUCACAGCCGAACAUGUUAUGCUGGAAGCAUGGAUUGAAUAACUUCAACCAGCAACACAGAGACCCUCACCUAACCCAUCAGCAUGGAAAUAUGCCUUCUGAUGAAGUGAUUGAAAGCCCCACUGCCACACACAGCAUUGCUAGCAUAUUUUCAGCUUUGUAGUGCCCUCUCCCACAGGCAGCUCCAUCCUAUAGGGUGCUGCUGGCCAUGGGCAGGGGCUGCCUCACAGAGACCCAGCUCCUGUCCUUCCAUUCUCUACAGCUGCCCCAGGAAACAGCUGACUUCUUAAAAAUUGAUGGGGUUCAUUUCCUGCCUCUGUGCACUUAAAGCAUCAGCUCUGCCACUACCAGCAACGUCCACAUUAAUUACUAUCAUACUGCAAGUACCUUUGUGUGCACUGCCUUGCCUGGAGAGUCUGUCCCAGCAGUGACCUGUGUUUUGCUCCCCUCAAGACCUUGCCCAUGGCUGAGGUUUCCAGAGCUGCUACAUGUGCAGCUACAAAGCUGGGAUUGCCCCAGAGGAGGAGAGGCAGCAGGAAGGGUCUGCACACAGAUCCUCUCUGAUCCAGGCUCAGAGGUUCACCUGGUGCCUGGGAUUUUCCUUCUCUCCUCCCUGUGUCCUAUUGAGCAGCAACACCCCAAGACUGUGUGGAGUCCCCACACUGAGUGCCCUCAGCUCUGAGCCCCAGGGUGCAACCUUCAGCAUUCCACCACCGAGUCCCUCCAAACAGAAAUUUUCAGUUUCCAAGGAAAAAAAAAAUCUGGUCAUGGAAAAACACCCAGCUCACUCAAACAGAGUUGGGGCCAGGCCAUGCUGCUAUUCAGUGCCCUGUGGACUGCAGAAAAUUAUAAAUUCUUUUCUUUUUUUUUUUGCAUAAAAUUACGAUUAUCCAGUGUUUAACACAAGCAUGUCUUAGACCGUGAAAUGAGUUGCAUGAGAGAGAUAAAGCAAAAGAAAGUAAGAGGAAGCAGGAGCCAGCAACUGCAAAGAUCAUUGGAAAAGCCUGUUCAGCAUGGACCAAAGGGCUCCAACCCAGGUAUCGUGUAGAGCCUCAUCAAGGCCUGACCAAGGGUGUCCUUUGAAUACAUGAACCUACCAAAAUGAGGAUCUGGAGGAGACUGACGAGCACUGGAGAACGCAUCCAGAAUACUUCAUCACUGCCUUUUCCUAUUCACCUAAGAAUCCCAAAAGGCCUGCAGGCAAUUGGUAACAGUUCCUCAGAAAAAGGUCUAGGAAUUAUAGCAGGUCAUGAGCUGAACGUGGGCUAUCAGUAUUGCAACAAGUGGCACGGUGCCCUGGGAGAUGUGUGCAGCAGCAUGACCUAUCCAGGCUCACCACAUCAUCUCUCUUGCUUGUUCAGUGCUGGUGAGGUCUACACUGGAGCAAAUUCUGGUAUCGGCAGCUCGUGUCAAAAGGGAGGCAGCAACACUGCAGUCAGCAUGCAGGGAACAGUGAGAAUGAUCAGAGGUCUACAAGACAUGACCUACAAAGAAAGAUUGAAAGAACUGGGUUAUUUAGCCUAAAAGAGAUGAUGGGAGAAGAGAUGUGAUAACAGUCUUCAAGUGCUUAAAAGGCUGCUGCCAAGGGGAAGAGAAUAAUCUGUUCUUUAUGUCCAUGGUGGACAGGACAAGAAAUAAUCGGCUUAAAUUACAGCAAGAGAAAUCAGGUUAGACACCGGGACAAAACCGGCGAGGCUGAAGCUGGGCAGAGAAUGACAGCAGUGCUCUUGGAGGCGGAGGGGUUCUGUUGGGUUGGGAUCGCUGUGGGGAGAGGCUGAUGUGCUUCCACAUCCCUGCAAUGCCUCUGACACGAGGUUUGGUGGUGCUGCAUUUCCCAGAGCAAGGUCAUGCUGCAGCCAUUGCUGCUGGGGGGAUGAAUCCCAGCCACUUUGUCUUGUGAGAACUUCCAAGACAGUAAAACGUGAUUUUGUGGCAAACUGAGAGCACAAGUCAACAUUUUCGGUUAUUUUUCUUGCAGUGAAAAAAUACUUGAAAAUGGAUUAUUUUUUUUUCUCCCAUCUAUUUUGGCCAUCCUAUUGCAACACAAACAGAGCAGAGUGCCCCAGCCAUGCCCCAUGGGCAAGCCAAAAUGACAUAGUCCAAACGAAACCUGUGUGAUAACAUCCUUGCUGAAAACAUCGGUGAACUCAAUCUCUUCCCUUCCAAACAAUUAGAUGGAGUUGAAAUACCAUUUUCUGAGUGAGGAGAUUGCCCUGAGAUGUUUUCCAACUGGCUCAGAGGGUUCUUGCUACCUGAGAGGCAAAAAGAAAAGGAAAGGCACGCGCAUGUCCAAGAGCAGCACUGCUUCUGCUGGCAGCGCGGUGCUGCUGAGUGCGCACCGCUGGCCGAAGAUUGAGAGAUGCUGUGUUCUCAGGAGAGAUGAUUAUUACCAAUGGAUUCCAAGAGCAAUCUUUUAUUUUAAAACCUGCCUCCUAAUUCAUUUUAUAUUUACCCAUAAAAUGUUGGCCAAGGUUUCUGAGAGCUGCGGUCUUUUGGAAAGGCCAAGUCUCCAGCCGAGCUGACUCAGCAGAAGCUCUCCUGAUCGAAGCAGUGCCUGUGUGAGUUCAUUCCACCCCUGGGCAGGGAUGGAAACAGAGGAGCUGGGCUCUCCCUGGCUUUGUUUUCUGCAAGGACCAAAGCUUGCUGCUGGCCUGCAGGGCUGGGAAGGGGACUGACAAAGUGCAUAAUUCUCCCUGCUUGUUUCCCUCCUGCUGUGCGUCCCAACUUUUGUUCACUUGCAGUUUAGUACAUCUGAGAUGAGAAUCAAAAGAAAGAAGAAAAAAGAAGAAAGAAAAAAAAAAAAAAAAGAUGAAAUCCCUGUAAGUAAUUAGUUUUCAGCCCUUCUGCCCAGCAUCAAGGAAGGAUGCAGAAAAUACCCAGCUUAUUAAAACAUCCCCCUGCUUCCACCCAGGAUGCUCUGGGACAGGCGUGCCUUGCCUAGGGACAGGUAUCCCAGCUCCUUCCCACGCCACAGUGGGAGCACACUGGGACUUGGACUAAUUCUAACAUAGCCCCUGGUGCCAAGCCAGUUUCUGCCUUCCUUUUCCCAUGUUGCUGAUUGCCCUAGUUGUUCCCCUGGCUCCUGGGCGCAAUGGUAAUGCCUCCCCUAUCCAUAUUUGUGAGGCAGUGGUGUCCUAAGCAGCUCAUCCUUGGGAGAUAAGGUCUCCUCUGCAGAGCCUGGUCUUCAUCCUACUGCUAUUGUGGGCCCUCCUCAUCCAAGGGCGCUGGGAAGAGAAGAAUUUGAUACUGCAGACUGCAGUGGACUCCUAUCCCAGGUGGACCAAACCUCCUUUGCUUCAAGGAAAAAUUCAUGUUAGGAUGAAGGGAAAAUCAGAAGGAAGCUGAAAGUUGCCCAUUUCAUACGUUGGAGAGGAGCUGCUUCUGAUAUCUCUUACGAGGCAUUUGAGUGGUGGCCAGGCUAUGAAAUAAAGCCAAGGCCAUUUGGAUUGACAGCUCAUUCCACACACAAGCAAAGCCCAGAAGACUAUCCAGAGCUUCACAAAAACAAUGGGCUAAUAGAUAAGUACAUAACGAAAACCUAGUGAGAACACCAGUAUCUCCUAAGUUCAGCUUCAUUCAGAAAGCCAAGAAUAUGGAACUGAGUCAGUUUGUGUCCGAUGGCCAUAAUGAACAUGCCACAGGAGAUGCCCGGAAGGAAUAAUACCAUAAAUUGGCAAGGUUGCAGCUGCAUUCAUCUGCGCAAACAAGAGCUGGUCAUCCAGAAUCCAGCAGUAUCAAAUAGUAGUACAUCAGUUCCAAUGUUAUUAUUUCUACCUUCAAGUAUGGGUGGGAACGCUCAGAAUCUGACGGCAGCCCCAGCAGGUGUGUCAGUACUGUGAGAGCCAAUGCUGGAAGGCCAUCCAGGGGUAUGAAGCAGAGUUAAUUUAUUCUAGCUGAUGCUGAGGAUCAUCAGGGGAUUCAAACCACCAUCACCACUACCACCACCUAGUCCUCUGGAGAAGGCUGUAUGUGUCUGGGACGUGCAUCAGUAAUGACCCAUACUAGCUGGAGUCUGCAGCCACAAACCUGUGUUUUGAGCAGCCUACACCUGGCUCAGGAGUGGCUUGCAUUGAUUUGGGAGCUCUGGUCUCCUUUCUCGAGGGGCUUAAGGAUGGGUGCAGGGUGAGGACCUUCUCCCCAGGUUGUUUGCAGGGGAAUCAGGGUGAUUGGAAGCCAGUGGGCCUCUGAGCAUUGCACAGCGUUAUUCAUGUAGCAGCUAAUGGAGCUUACUCAAUCCAUAAAGAUUUUUAGUCAGGAGUUUGAUGUUAAUUAUGGACCAAAACAUUUAAUAGCCCGUUACACUUCCACGAGGCAUUUUUUUAAUUAAAAAAUGAUAUAUUGCAGAAAAGGGGAAAAAAACAGAGGGGAAUAAUUGAAGAUUGUUUUAUUCUGGAA